This 238-nucleotide ribosomal RNA is filed under the name uncultured bacterium. Its description in RNAcentral is "partial 16S ribosomal RNA". It matches the Rfam family "Bacterial small subunit ribosomal RNA", at positions 96 to 334 of the family's 1533-position model. The record is from RNAcentral.
CGGCGGACGGGUGAGUAACGCGUGGGUAACUUGCCUCAUACAGGGGGAUAACAGUUGGAAACGGCUGCUAAUACCGCAUAAGCGCACAGUACCGCAUGGUACGGUGUGAAAAACUCCGGUGGUAUGAGAUGGACCCGCGUCUGAUUAGGUAAUUGGUGGGGUAACGGCCUACCAAGCCGACGAUCAGUAGCCGACCUGAGAGGGUGACCGGCCACAUUGGGACUGAGACACGGCCCAA